CCACCGACCUUCAUAUUUACCUGUGACGCCCCAGAGUUAAUUGCAGCGAAUUCCUGCGCCGGGUGCAAAGUGGGGGCUCGUUGUUGCUUUAUUUUACAUAACAAACACUGGGGAUCCCGUCAUUCCUCUCCGGUUUCCAGGGAACUGGGACCAAAGAUGCAAGAAAGAGAGAAAAAGGGUUUUGAGCCGGCGCGAAUCAACGGGAGCUUACGAGACAAAAGUCUCAGAUGAAUAAACCAUUCAGUGUGGUUUGUUCGUUGUAAUCCGGGUCGGGGCGGCUGAGGUAAAAAGUGUUUUUAGUUUCCCCCACUGGGAGCUUUCUAUGCUGAGAACAAGUGGUUAUUAACGUCUUAUUACCAUAGCCGGUUCCACACAUUCCGCCGAUUGGGAAACAAUGUGUAUGCCGUUCGUUGGGGGAGUCGUGGUAGAACCGAGAGCCCCCCCCUCCCUUUCUAACAAACUAGACUUGGUCUUCACAGUAGCCGGGACGCGUCGGGGUCACCUCGGCUCCCGAUCUCCGGUAAACGAAACGGUGCCCUUCGACUCGGAUUUGGCAGAGCCGGUGGGGGGGGGGGGGCGUGCACAUCAAAGUAAGGCCUGACCUUGCAUACCAGAUGAGGUUUGGAUUAACGAGCUCUGGACAUCAAACGGUAGGAUCACUCCCCCACGAGUCAUCGAAACCCCCCCACACCCUCCAUCGGUGAAAUUUACAGCGCAGCGUAAAAAAGAAAGUUCUGGAAACAUCAACAUCGACCUCGCUGCGCAUCUCAGUUUGAAACGAUGUGACGGAAAGGGGGGGGGUUAAAAAUCCCUCCAAUUAUGUGAUGUGUGGGAGAGCACAAUGAACCGGGCCGCAUGCCAAACAGCAUCCUUUACCAAACAAAUAGAGGACUGCACACUGACAGCAUCUAUCUGUGGAGACUUAGGAAGCCAAGAGGACGUCCCGGCCGAGGUGGUUAGCUGGUCCCUCAGACGCUUCACCGGGACACGAUCCUCCUUUCAAAGAGGACGCUGCUGCUUUGAAGAGCGAUAAAAGCACUUGUUUUAAGGGGGAUGAGAGCGGCCCUGUCUGAAGCACACGCCGCCUUGUUUGAGUGUGAAUAUUUAUUAAUAAUGUUAAUCUGCAAAUAAAACAAUUCUCCAAGCGGUGUGAUAAAAACACCACGCGCCAUCCACAUUUAACCAUCUAUAUUUAUACAACCUUUUCUUCCAGCCUCGUCUCUCUGCUCGGUGUUCAGCAGCGUUUUAAAGAGAUGAACGCAAAAUUUUAUGCUUUUUAUGGUAAAAACCAAAGCUUAUUUGUGGCAAGAUUUUAAAUAUAGACAUUUAAGGCUAUUUUGGACGUUUUAAUAUGAUAGAGGCAUGCGACACAACUGUGUAACUGAUCAAUUAUUACCCGAGUACACUAAAUAUAAUCAGCUUAUAUUACAUCUUGGGAAAACUGCUUUUCCUCUUGGGGAGGUCACACGCAUUCAUUGAGGGGCCGAGCCGGACAUCUGGACAAAGACAAAUGGAAAUGUUCGAUGCUACUGACAGGUCACACAGGUCAUCGGCGCUUCAUUGGCACACUAAUAUGGGUCCGAAUGAGGCAGCGAGUCCAACAUGGUCCACUUUUCAGAUGUUAUCAAUGCAGGAACAUCAUGUGAAUACAUUUGAAGCCAGAAUGUUCUGAUAAUGUCUAUACGUUCGUCCGCUAAUGAAAAAAGGUCAAAGACAGAAAAUAAACAUAAUUCUGGCCUGGAUUUGGGACGCUUCAUGAAUUAAAAACAUUUUCCUCUGCGUCAGUUGUUGGGUAACUUUGAACUUAAUUACGUUUUUAUGAGUU
Long non-coding RNA from Gasterosteus aculeatus aculeatus (three-spined stickleback), 1825 nucleotides. The record is from Ensembl. Lineage: Eukaryota; Metazoa; Chordata; Actinopteri; Perciformes; Gasterosteidae.